CAGCUUAAUCUUGGCGAUGCAACCUUGUUCUCAAAUAGGAGCCUUUGCUGGCUUCUCAUGGGCGAUGGAGGCAAGGCCUUGGUAGAUGCUAACCAAUGCAGAGCAAUGCGCCCUGACUGGCCAAAGGCUUGUUACCGGCAGGGCGUAGCUCUGAUGUUACUGAAGGAUUACAAGGGUGCAAGUGAGCGAUUCUCGGAAGGACUGAAGUUAGACCCAGGGAAUGCUGAGAUUGAGCAUGCUUUACGGUAUCCCAUCUGCCUCUUUGGUUACACUAUGCCUUUUUUGACGAAGACCUUGCAUUUUUCGGCUAACUUGUUAGGUUCAUGCCCUUGCGUACAACUUGUGAAGAUAUUGACUUUCAGUCUUGGAAAGCAACUACACGUACUAUUAUCUAGCAAUGCCAUAUGUAAUAUUCUUAAAACACAUCAAGCGCCCUUGAUCUACCACCUUGUCUUCAGCGUGAAUUUGGCAAUCAAGCUGAAUGAGAUUUUCUCAGAAAUACUAUGCUAA
This 510-nucleotide ribosomal RNA is filed under the name Triticum aestivum (bread wheat). Its description in RNAcentral is "partial small subunit ribosomal RNA". Lineage: Eukaryota; Viridiplantae; Streptophyta; Magnoliopsida; Poales; Poaceae. The record is from RNAcentral.